CUUAAGGCCCCGAAGCAGAAUUUCCGACCACUGCACAAUCAACAGCACAAGAAACUCAAACGUCCAAGAUGAGGUCCAAUAUCGCCCUAACCAUCGGUCUCCUGUUGGCUGCCUUUGUCCUCAUGGCGACUCUCUCUCCUGCAGCUUGCAGUGUCAUGAUAACCACAACUGCUCAGAAAUAACUGUCGACUGCAACGAGGACC
Molecule: long non-coding RNA, 203 nt
Filed under: Penaeus japonicus
Lineage: Eukaryota; Metazoa; Arthropoda; Malacostraca; Decapoda; Penaeidae
Description: uncharacterized LOC122266051
Source: RNAcentral